AACGGCGAGUGAAGCGGCAACAGCUCAAAUUUGAAAUCUGGCUUCGGCCCGAGUUGUAAUUUGUAGAGGAAGCUUUUGGUGAGGCACCUUCUGAGUCCCCUGGAACGGGGCGCCAUAGAGGGUGAGAGCCCCGUAUAGUCGGAUGCCGAUCCAAUGUAAAGCUCCUUCGACGAGUCGAGUAGUUUGGGAAUGCUGCUCAAAAUGGGAGGUAAAUUUCUUCUAAAGCUAAAUACCGGCCAGAGACCGAUAGCGCACAAGUAGAGUGAUCGAAAGAUGAAAAGCACUUUGAAAAGAGGGUUAAAUAGCACGUGAAAUUGUUGAAAGGGAAGCGUUUGUGACCAGACUUGCGCCGUUCCGAUCAUCCGGUGUUCUCACCGGUGCACUCGGGACGGCUCAGGCCAGCAUCGGUUUUGGCGGGGGGAUAAAGGUCCGGGGAACGUAGCUCCUCCGGGAGUGUUAUAGCCCCGGGCGUAAUGCCCUCGCCGGGACCGAGGUUCGCGCAUCUGCAAGGAUGCUGGCGUAAUGGUCAUCAACGACCCGUCUUGAAACACGGACCAAGGAGUCAAGGUUUUGCGCGAGUGUUUGGGUGUAAAACCCGCACGCGUAAUGAAAGUGAACGUAGGUGAGAGCUUCGGCGCAUCAUCGACCGAUCCUGAUGUAUUCGGAUGGAUUUGAGUAAGAGCGUUAAGCCUUGGACCCGAAAGAUGGUGAACUAUGCUUGGAUAGGGUGAAGCCAGAGGAAACUCUGGUGGAGGCUCGCAGCGGUUCUGACGUGCAAAUCGAUCGUCAAAUCUGAGCAUGGGGGCGAAAGACUAAUCGAACCAUCUAGUAGCUGGUUACCGCCGAAGUUUCCCUCAGGAUAGCAGUGUUGUUCUUCAGUUUUAUGAGGUAAAGCGAAUGAUUAGGGACUCGGGGGCGCUUUUUAGCCUUCAUCCAUUCUCAAACUUUAAAUAUGUAAGAAGCCCUUGUUACUUAAUUGAACGUGGGCAUUCGAAUGUACCAACACUAGUGGGCCAUUUUUGGUAAGCAGAACUGGCGAUGCGGGAUGAACCGAACGCGGGGUUAAGGUGCCGGAGUGGACGCUCAUCAGACACCACAAAAGGCGUUAGUACAUCUUGACAGCAGGACGGUGGCCAUGGAAGUCGGAAUCCG
Molecule: ribosomal RNA, 1152 nt
Filed under: Neurospora crassa
Lineage: Eukaryota; Fungi; Ascomycota; Sordariomycetes; Sordariales; Sordariaceae
Also listed under: 1 other name
Description: partial large subunit ribosomal RNA
Rfam family: Eukaryotic large subunit ribosomal RNA
Source: RNAcentral